UACGGGGGGGGCAAGCGUUGUUCGGAAUUACUGGGCGUAAAGGGCGCGUAGGCGGUCAGACCAAGUCGAGUGUGAAAUUCCAGGGCUUAACUCUGGCGCGCUCGCUCGAUACUGGUCGGCUAGAGUGUGGAAGAGGAUGCUGGAAUUCCCGGUGUAGCGGUGAAAUGCGUAGAUAUCAAGAGGAACACCUGAGGUGAAGACGGGUUGCUGGGCCAACACUGACGCUGAUGCGCGAAAGCCAGGGGAGCAAACGGG
This 255-nucleotide ribosomal RNA is filed under the name uncultured bacterium. RNAcentral describes it as "partial 16S ribosomal RNA". It matches the Rfam family "Bacterial small subunit ribosomal RNA", at positions 524 to 776 of the family's 1533-position model. The record is from RNAcentral.